Molecule: long non-coding RNA, 316 nt
Organism: Oncorhynchus keta (chum salmon)
Lineage: Eukaryota; Metazoa; Chordata; Actinopteri; Salmoniformes; Salmonidae
Exons: 3
Source: RefSeq, a predicted model, not a curated record
UGUAGAUGGGUCACUAUGAGGUGGAAUAGAAACUAGAUGGAUCACAAUGAGGUGGAAUAGAAACUAGAUGGAUCACAAUGAGGUGGAAUAUAAACUGUAGAUGGAUCACUAUGAGGUGGAAUAUAAACUGUAGAUGGAUCACAAUGAGGUGGAAUAUAAACUGUAGAUGGAUCACAAUGAGGUGGAAUAGAAACUGUAGAUGGAUCACAAUGAGGUGGAAUAUAAACUGUAGAUGGAUCACAAUGAGGUGGAAUAGAAACUGUAGAUGGAUCACAAUGAGGUGGAAUAUAAACUGUAGAUGGAUCACAAUGAGGUG